This is a long non-coding RNA of Equus asinus (donkey), 2176 nucleotides long. The record is from Ensembl. NCBI's taxonomy places the organism in Eukaryota, Metazoa, Chordata, Mammalia, Perissodactyla, Equidae.
AUUAAUUCCAAAGGAAAUAGGGCUUUCAAGCUCCCUGUCGGUAGGAAAUUAUAAUCCUGGGCAAAGGAAGAGGAAACGUUCCUCUAUGAUCAACACCAUCUCAGUGAGAACUGCGUUCUGCGCAAGCUGUCCCACCGACCGCAUCGGGGCUGGGGGAGGGGGAAGAUGGAGUAAGGAGGCCUGGAAGAUGAGCCGCGUCUUCCUCGUGCUUUUUGCCCAUGGUUGGCUCGUCCUCUUGGUGUUCAGAGCAGGAGCUGUAGCAUCCAGAGCAAGAACUCGCUUGCUUUCUCCGCGUUGGUGAAAUCUUUGGCUCGCUGGCCUGUCCCGGCCUGCUAACUGGCAAGCAAACCCUGGACCGGUUACCCAAGUCUUCUUGGAGUCCUGAGGAUGCCAGUCAUUCUGUGUUAGCAGUGCAAUUGCUCAAGAACGUGGAGUUCAGAAUGGGCUCUAACAGGGUAUUUCUGGAGCGAUGUCUAAUUUACUGAGUGAUUAUGCAAAGCAUAAAGUGUGCUGUGGUCCUGGGAAUAAUGCAACACUUCCCUUUAGUUGUUGUGGUGAAUUAAUGAUACUUGUGAUCCUGAACGUCUUACUCACAAAGGCAUGUGCCCAUGCGCGAUAAGCCAAACCCUGAGACGUGCUUGGAGGUGGAGAACGGUUUAUUGGAACUGGCCAAAAUGAGAAGGAGGGUGGAUAGGUUCUCUCAAAUCCGCCAAAACAAGAGAAGAAAGCAGGGGGUUUUAUAGCACUAAGGGGCUUGGAAGGAGGAGUUUCGCAGAAACAAAGGGGAAAUCUGUGUUUCUUUCACUCCAGACAAGCUCUUGGGCAAUCUGACUUCUGGGAUCAAUGGCGUCUAGAGGCUGGUUAUCUGGCGAUCGUAACUUCCUUGAAGGUGUUCUGUUUCUUCUGGAAAACAAGCCCAUAAAUCCUUGUGACCCUUGAGUCACCCUGAAGGUUAAACAAGAAAACAGCAAAUUAACAAGAUUAAUUUCUUUUCAUCUGUCUGUGUUGGGAACAUGGUUGAAGGGUAAUUAUAUAUAUUAUUGAAUAUUUACAGUAACCCUCGGGUACCAGCCUCACUGGGUGCUUUCCUGCCCCAAAUGAACUACAAAUAGUAUUUUACAAAUAGUAGUUGGAUUUGUACUUUUGAAUUUUAAGAUUUCCAACAUAUUUCAUAUACACAAAAGGGGCAAGCCCUUUUCCACAACGUUUCCAACUUCUUCACGGAAGCCUAAGCCCCACGUGACCAAAAGCUCAUACUCUGCUUCGUCAAGGAGAUCACACAGUUACAGCUGCCAACAACUCCCGGGAGUCCUUUGAAAAAUGGCUCAGAAAAAGGCUCUGGAUUCAGGGCCGCCAUUAUGAAGGAAAGGGAAAAACCAGGCAGUUGGCUUUCUGUCCCUAAAAGCUGUGCUGUGACACGGAGAGGCUGGGAGCACUGCCCUUGACGAACUUACUGUGCAGGAUGUUCACUGCCAUCUGCUGGGAGCAGGCGAAGUUGACAUACUGUUACUCCAGAAGCUACCCUUACAGGAGAAACUGAAACACAGCUGCUGCAUUGUGAAUCCACGCCGGGAAAGAAACGGUGUCCAGUGAAUAAUGAGAAGGCCCCAGAAUGGCUCCUCUAACAAUCCUGCUUCUUCCUUUACUGGAAUCCUUCCUUGUGGGCUCAACAGCGACUCAUGCAUCGAGGGGAGUGGGACUUGGGACUCAAAGGCACAACAGGGCAGAAAGGAGGCCACAACUCACUGCUGGGAACUGGACCAGACGAGUCAACAAUGGCAAAGAAGUCCUGGAAUAUGAGCUUCAAAAUCUCAGUCAAAACUCACCCCUAAGAGAAUCUACCUGAUGAAUCUUAUUCGAUCGUGUCAGCUCUUUAACUACUGGUCAUCCUUUCAGCAUGCACUCAGUUAUUUAAGUGGUGAACUGACAGAUCCACCAAACCAAGGCCUGCAUGCCAGGAAGUGUGAGCUGUUGAUCUGUGUAUAGACAUCACCAGCCUUUUGGAGGACAAUUCCCGUGUAUUGGAGACCUGGUAAAUCACGCAUUAUUCCCUCCACCUCCCCACUCACCCUCAAAACAUUGACAUUUUUGUUAAGUGAAAUUCUAUUAAAAUAAAUAUCAAGGAAUGACUUUAUCAAGGGAACCAAAACUGGGACCUUUAGGCAAUAAAACAAUA